GACGAACGCUGGCGGCGUGCUUAACACAUGCCAGUCGAACGGAAAGGCCCUGCUUGCCGGGUACUCGAGUGGCGAACGGGUGAGUAACACGUGGGUGAUCUGCCCUGCACUUCGGGAUAAGCCUGGGAAACUGGGUCUAAUACCGGGUAGGAGCCAUUUUUAGUGUGAUGGUUGGAAAGUUUUUUCGGUGUAGGAUGAGCUCGCGGCCUAUCAGCUUGUUGGUGGGGUAAUGGCCUACCAAGGCGGCGACGGGUAGCCGGCCUGAGAGGGUGGACGGCCACAUUGGGACUGAGAUACGGCCCAGACUCCUACGGGAGGCAGCAGUGGGGAAUAUUGCACAAUGGGCGCAAGCCUGAUGCAGCGACGCCGCGUGGGGGAUGACGGCCUUCGGGUUGUAAACUCCUUUCGCUAGGGACGAAGCUUUUUGUGACGGUACCUAGAUAAGAAGCACCGGCUAACUACGUG
This 465-nucleotide ribosomal RNA is filed under the name uncultured bacterium. RNAcentral's name for it is "partial 16S ribosomal RNA". It matches the Rfam family "Bacterial small subunit ribosomal RNA", at positions 28 to 507 of the family's 1533-position model. The record is from RNAcentral.